RNAcentral lists this transfer RNA (78 nucleotides) under Thermoprotei archaeon. Its description in RNAcentral is "tRNA-Arg". It matches the Rfam family "tRNA". From Rfam's summary of the family: Transfer RNA (tRNA) molecules are approximately 80 nucleotides in length. The record is from RNAcentral. RNAcentral also lists the same sequence under 1 other name. Lineage: Archaea; Thermoproteati; Thermoproteota; Thermoprotei.
GGGCCCGUAGCCUAGCCUGGAUAGGGUGCCGGCCUCCGGAGCCGGUGGUCCCGGGUUCAAAUCCCGGCGGGCCCGCCA